RNAcentral lists this unclassified non-coding RNA (225 nucleotides) under plant metagenome. Its description in RNAcentral is "partial contains small subunit ribosomal RNA, internal transcribed spacer 1, and 5.8S ribosomal RNA". The record is from RNAcentral.
UCUCCGCUGGUGAACCAGCGGAGGGAUCAUUACAGGACUCGCAAGACUCCUACAACCCUGUGAACUUAACUAUAAGCACGUUGCUUCGGCGGGUGUCUCGGAGGGGGUUCUCCCUCCCCGAGACGCUAAACCCGCCGGCAGCCUACUAUACUCUGUCUCUUUGCGUUGGCAUCUCGAGUACAAUCAAACAAGUUAAAACUUUCAACAACGGAUCUCUUGGUUCUG